ACCGUGCUGACGCGACAGGCCGAUCGC
RNAcentral lists this non-coding RNA (27 nucleotides) under Bombyx mori (domestic silkworm). The record is from RNAcentral. Lineage: Eukaryota; Metazoa; Arthropoda; Insecta; Lepidoptera; Bombycidae.